AAAAAAAAAAAUUGAUAAACACUAGUGUGAAAUAUUAGCCUUUCGAUGGAUAGACCAAAAAAUUUACAUCUAUCUAAAUUUUUGGGUGUAUAAGUAGUGUUGCUUUUUUUUUUUUUUUUUCUCCCUUGGGAAAAUUGUUUAGAAAAUAGAGAUCCUCUAAACUUUAGGUUCCUUUGCAACGGUGUCUGAAUUUUUAAUUUUGGCAAUUAGACCUCUUAAAGUUUGUCAAAUAACUCAAUGGAUCUCUCUCUUCAGUUGAAAUUACUAAUCACAUAGUCUCUUUGAUUGUGUCUUCAAUAUAAUUUUAUAAAGCUUUAAAAUGUAAAAAAGAAUUAUUUUUCUAUUCUAAUAUAUAAAUAAAAAUAAUAAAUAAACUAAUUGUCAAAAUUGAAAGUUCAUUUUCCUGUUUAGAAAAGAGCUAAAGAUCCUGGGUCUUUCUAUAUUAUUUCCUUUUUUGGGUGAACUUCAUUAUUCUUACUGUAGUUUAGCAUAUUUUUAUUUUACUACCCUAUGAUUUAAAAAGUAAUUUUGGUUAAUCUUAACGACCUACCCUUAGGGCGUGUUUGGUUCGAAGUCGGAGUCGAAAUCGGAAUCGGAAUCAAAAUAAGCUGGAAUCGGAAUCGGAAUUACUCAUUACCUAAUUUUGUUUGGUUUAUCACCUGAAUCGGAAUCGGAAUAAAUCAUUUUCAUUAUCGGUGUUUGGUUUAGGUGGAUAUAAAAAACGUAAUCAAAUUAAUAUACUAACAUUAUCUUUAUAAUAUAUUAAUUUAUAUUUAAAUUAAAAAUUAAAUAUUAAAAAUUUACAUUAAAAUUUUGAAAUAAUGUCAAAAUUUUAAAUCUAUUUUUUUAAAAAAAAAUUAAACUUUGAAGUUGAGUGGAUAAUUCAAAAUAUGAAACUAAAUUUUGAUUUAUUCAAAUUCAAACUUAAAAUUAUAAUUAUAAUUUUAAUUUGUAUCCAUAAAUUUAAUUUAAGUUUGAAAUAAAAUUUGAAUAAAAUUUUAUAUAAAUUAAAUUUAAUUUAAAUUCAAAUUCAUAAGUUAGAUUCGAAAUACUUAAUUAAAUUUUAAUUUUUAAUUUAAGUUCAAAUUAAAAUUUAAAAUUAUAUAUUUAAUUUUUAAAUUUUAACUCAUAUUUUAAUUAAAAAAGUUGAAAAAAUAAAUUUAAUCCGAAUAAAUAUCCAUUCGUGGGUUUCGGAUUCAACUUCCAAUCCGGCCUCUUAGUCGGAUUGAAAAAAGAGGGGGUUGGGGGAUUCCUAUUCCACUCGAGAAUUGGAAUCGGAAUGGGACUCCGCGUACCAAACACCCACAAACGGAUUUAUAUUCCGAUUCCGCAUUCCAAGGUGAAAAAGAAAGCGAACAAACACGCCUUAAUAUACUUUUUGUAACACAUGAUAGUAAAGUGCAAAUUAUAGAACAGUAAAAACUGUAUUGUUUCGCUCUGGUUUGAAAAACUAUCACGGUAGUAUUUAGUUUAGCAGCAGCUACUUACAGUGAAAUGGAAAUAAUGAACCGUAUGAUAGAUAAGCAUACUCUUUUGAAUCACAAUGCGGCGAAGAAAUGAAAAAGUGUUAGACCACAAUGAGGUAAAUUGAAGUUUACCUUUUUUUUUUUUU
Molecule: long non-coding RNA, 1612 nt
Filed under: Ananas comosus (pineapple)
Lineage: Eukaryota; Viridiplantae; Streptophyta; Magnoliopsida; Poales; Bromeliaceae
Description: long non-coding RNA (ACOM_LNC031233)
Source: RNAcentral